AGAACGAACGCUGGCGGCAUGCCUAAUACAUGCAAGUCGAACGAACUCUUCGGAGUUAGUGGCGCACGGGUGCGUAACGCGUGGGAAUCUGCCCCUUGGUUCGGAAUAACAGUUGGAAACGACUGCUAAUACCGGAUGAUGACGAAAGUCCAAAGAUUUAUCGCCAAGGGAUGAGCCCGCGUAGGAUUAGCUAGUUGGUGAGGUAAAGCUCACCAAGGCAACGAUCCUUAGCUGGUCUGAGAGGAUGAUCAGCCACACUGGGACUGAGACACGGCCCAGACUCCGUACGGGACGGCAGCCGAGGUAGGGAAUAGUUGGGAACAAGGGGUGGGACGAAAGCCGUAGGACUCCGAGCAAUCGCCGCGUGAGUGAUGAAGGCGUUAGGUUGUAAGCUCUUUACCGAG
Molecule: ribosomal RNA, 404 nt
Filed under: uncultured soil bacterium
Lineage: Bacteria
Description: bacterial SSU rRNA
Rfam family: Bacterial small subunit ribosomal RNA
Source: RNAcentral